AACUUUUUACAAUGUAUCUCUCGGCUCUUGCAUCGAAUAAGAACGCAGUCAAUUGCGAAAAGUAAUGUGAUGUGCACCCUUUGAGAAGCAUUAUACUCUUUGAACGCACCUUGCGCGCAUCUCACGAUGCGAGGUCCUGUUUGAGCGUGUUCUAUUAUGAAUAGUAUUUGACAUUUAUUCACUUUACAAGAGUGACUGAACGUUGAAACGUAUGCAGGGCCCGAACGACUCUAGGGCGCCACGGGCAGCAGCGCGACAAGCACCACUGCGAACCGAGGAACUGCACGUCGUGUGCAUAAUACAAUAAAGUAUAUUGCACACGACAACACAAAUACACACACACGCACCUCAAAUCAGGAUAGAGGACCCGCUGAACUUAAGCAUAUCAAUAAGCGGAGGCU
Molecule: unclassified non-coding RNA, 401 nt
Filed under: uncultured Basidiomycota
Lineage: Eukaryota; Fungi; Basidiomycota
Description: sequence contains ITS2
Rfam family: 5.8S ribosomal RNA (bases 1-150)
Source: RNAcentral